UACAGUCAUGUGCCACUUAAUGAGGGGACAUAUUCAGAGAAAUGUAAGGUGGCCUCGUGGUUGUGUGAGCAUUGUGGAGUGCACUGAUACAAACCCGGAUGGCUUCACCCCUACAUGCCUGGGCUGAACGCAGACCCGGAUGGCGUCGCCCCUACACGCCUGGGCUGAACACAGACCCCGAUGACGUCACCCCUACACGCCUGGGCUGAACACAGACCCCGAUGACGUCACCCCUACACGCCUGGGCUGAACGCAGACCCCGAUGACGUCGCCCCUACACGCCUGGGCUGAACGCAGACCCCGAUGACGUCUCCCCUACACGCCUGGGCUGAACACAGACCCCGAUGACGUCACCCCUACGCGCCUGGGCUGAACGCAGACCCGGAUGGCGUCGCCCCUACGCGCCUGGGCUGAACGCAGACCCGGAUGGCGUCGCCCCUACAUGCCUGGGCUGAACGAAUGGCAUAGGCCUCCUGCUCCCAGGCUGCACCUGUACAGCGUGUGACUGCACUGAAGACUGUAGACAACUGUAACACAGUGGUUGAAGCUAUUUCUGAGUGGAAGAAAACUGUGACAGAAAAGAAUACUUAAAAUGAUUAAUUUUUCUUCAAGAAAAUAUGAAAGACAGGUCACAAACUCCUCUCAAUCUCACAGAACAGCAGUCAGAGGCAGCUGUGACACUGAGAUCCACGGUCUGAUCUUCAUUUUAAAUACAAAACCUCUGAGGCCCAGAGGCAAUGGGGUUUGUCUGAGUCACCUUAGCUCCAAGGCCUGUAGACCUAGGCUUUGCGACAUCAAUCUUUGCAGGCUUCUUCCACUAGAAGACCAGCUUACAAUAUGGAAGCCACAGCAAUGAACAAGACACAAUCCUGGACCCCAUGAGCUCACAGAAAACUUAUGUAAGUUUCUGCCUCACCUCUCAAGCCCCAGAGAAGUGCUACACUGCUUGCAAUCUGGUGCUGCCCAAUUCAUGAAUUGCUGUCUGUUCAAAUAAACUCCACAAAAUUUUAA
Long non-coding RNA from Symphalangus syndactylus (siamang), 1011 nucleotides. RefSeq lists it as uncharacterized. NCBI's taxonomy places the organism in Eukaryota, Metazoa, Chordata, Mammalia, Primates, Hylobatidae. The record is from RefSeq and is a predicted model, not a curated record.